Long non-coding RNA from Pomacea canaliculata, 438 nucleotides. RefSeq lists it as uncharacterized. Lineage: Eukaryota; Metazoa; Mollusca; Gastropoda; Architaenioglossa; Ampullariidae. The record is from RefSeq and is a predicted model, not a curated record. The transcript has 3 exons.
AUGGUCACGUGACGUGCAGGAGACGGGAACGUGACGGUGGUAGAGUGGCGCCAGAGAUGGACCUGGGCUUACGGCGACACGGCCAACUACGCGCUGUUUGCGUGGACCAAAAUCAUCGGACCUGGACUCACUGUUGUCCCCAAUUCCCAAUUUGGAGCGUCGGAGAUAUUUGCGAGGGGCAUGACUGUUGCUGCGUUUAGAGACAGAAAUCGUGAGAGAUACGAGGAAUACCAACGACAAGGAGGAGCGAUUAUUGGCAGAUAACCCGCCCGGUACACCGCAGAUAUGACGAGCCUUGACAAGCGUUCUGACGGACUGGUAUGCGCCGUUAUCCGCAUUGUCAGGUGACAUUGGUUCAGCGUCAUUCGCUACAUUUGUAGCUCCUUCUGCAUAUUACAGUACAUUGUAGCUCGCGUUACAAUAAAACAUUUUUUAAUC